GCAGCGGUAACUCAGUGGUUAAGACAUUGGACUACUGCUCGGAAGGUCAUUAGUUCAAAUCCUACCACUGCU
Non-coding RNA from Pangasius djambal, 72 nucleotides. NCBI's taxonomy places the organism in Eukaryota, Metazoa, Chordata, Actinopteri, Siluriformes, Pangasiidae. The record is from the annotation of a GenBank genome assembly.